GUCACUGUGGUGUAGCGGUUAUCACGCCUGUCUCACACACAGGAGGUCCUCGGUUCGAUCCCGAGCAGUGACA
Non-coding RNA from Paramacrobiotus metropolitanus, 73 nucleotides. NCBI's taxonomy places the organism in Eukaryota, Metazoa, Tardigrada, Eutardigrada, Parachela, Macrobiotidae. The record is from the annotation of a RefSeq genome assembly.